AUUGACCUCGGAUCAGGUAGGGAUACCCGCUGAACUUAAGCAUAUCAAUAAGCGGAGGAAAAGAAACCAACAGGGAUUGCCUCAGUAACGGCGAGGAGCGG
Molecule: ribosomal RNA, 101 nt
Filed under: Nephroma helveticum
Lineage: Eukaryota; Fungi; Ascomycota; Lecanoromycetes; Peltigerales; Nephromataceae
Also listed under: 1 other name
Description: partial 28S ribosomal RNA
Rfam family: Eukaryotic large subunit ribosomal RNA
Source: RNAcentral